This 155-nucleotide ribosomal RNA is filed under the name Veronica anagallis-aquatica. RNAcentral describes it as "5.8S rRNA". It matches the Rfam family "5.8S ribosomal RNA". Rfam says of the family: 5.8S ribosomal RNA (5.8S rRNA) is a component of the large subunit of the eukaryotic ribosome. It is transcribed by RNA polymerase I as part of the 45S precursor that also contains 18S and 28S rRNA. Functionally, it is thought that 5.8S rRNA may be involved in ribosome translocation. The record is from RNAcentral. Lineage: Eukaryota; Viridiplantae; Streptophyta; Magnoliopsida; Lamiales; Plantaginaceae.
CGGCAACGGAUAUCUCGGCUCUCGCAUCGAUGAAGAACGUAGCGAAAUGCGAUACUUGGUGUGAAUUGCAGAAUCCCGUGAACCAUCGAGUCUUUGAACGCAAGUUGCGCCCGAAGCCUUCUGGCCGAGGGCACGUCUGCCUGGGCGUCACGCAU